UAUAGUUUGCAUAGCACCUUGGGAACCUUAUGGCUAAGAAGGUUAUGGCCCAAUGGCUUUUCUGAUGUUCCUGGAAGUGUGGCUGCUAUCUUGUCUCUCUUGUUGAUUGCGCUGUUAAUUUCUCUGGCUAAGCUAAAACUUCACCCCCUCCCAGACGUUACUGACCCAUGGGGCCUAGCCAGCCUGAGGUCGAAGACCCUCCUCAGGCAUGCAUCCACAGGUUCCAUAGCUGGACAUAUCAAGCAAAUUAGGCAGUGUGAACUGCACAAACCAUAUGAGCCAAGAAGAAAUUGGAAAAAAGCUUGUUUACUAUGACUGAGCAAACCAAAAUUUCUUCACCUCCUUUCACUCAGG
Long non-coding RNA from Mauremys mutica (yellowpond turtle), 354 nucleotides. RefSeq lists it as uncharacterized. The record is from RefSeq and is a predicted model, not a curated record. Lineage: Eukaryota; Metazoa; Chordata; Testudines; Geoemydidae. The transcript is spliced from 3 exons.